Mustela lutreola (European mink) is the source of this 1323-nucleotide long non-coding RNA. RefSeq lists it as uncharacterized. The record is from RefSeq and is a predicted model, not a curated record. Lineage: Eukaryota; Metazoa; Chordata; Mammalia; Carnivora; Mustelidae. The transcript has 5 exons.
AUAAAAUCUUUUUAAAAAAAAAAAAGAAUUUUAAAAAGUGCACAUGUUCUAAGUGUCCAUUUAGAUGAACUUGAUAAAUUCAUGCGCCUCUGUAAUCACCAUCCUAAUCCAGAUAGAAUGUUCUGUAACCAAACCAAGUAGGAGAGUUUGUCCACCCUGUGGGCAGCAGGCAAGUAAAAGUGGCACAGAUCUUUCGCAGUGAAGAAAGAUGAGCUAUUUACUGGUAUGGCACCACCCAGGAGAAUGGGAAAGUAAUGCUCUAAAGUCCCAGUCUCCCCAGUGGCUUCUUAGUGAAAGGCUUUAAGGGCAAAAUUGGGGGCAGGACUGUCCUGAGAAAGUGGGUGUCCUUGACUGGAAGCUCAGGAGGUCGCAUGAAUAGGUGCCCUGGUGCCACUUUGUCUGGUUCCCUGGGAGGUCUUCUUCAUCUCAAGAGACUUGGAAUCUGAAAAGUAUAUUUGUUCUUUUCGGUAGAGGUUUCAUUAGGCACAUCCGGUAAUAAUAUCCUUAAAGUAGUACUGAUUAACUACUUGUAAGCUAGUGGGGUUGCAUUCCUGGAGGUUCCUUGGCCAGACCAGACCAGUCCAGCCGUGCCGUGCCGGGAGCUGAUAGACCUAUUUCCAUCGUCCCCAGGACGUUCCCUUCUGCCCCCUCCCCCGUCCCUCUCUCCCACUUCCAGCCGCAGGCAGUCAUUGAUCUGCUUUGUGUCUAUACAUAAAUUUUGCCUAUUCCAGAACUUCGUAUAAAUGUAAUUACAAAGCUUGUACUCUUUGUGUCUGGCUUUCUUCCUUCUAUGUUUUUGAAAUUCAUUGACAUUGUUUGCUUUUGUAGUGCCGAAUAUGUUCCAUGGGCAGGGGGAACCACGCUUUCUCUGUUCUCCAGUGAGGCAUUUGGGUUCUUUUCCAGCGUGAGACUCUCCUACAGAUGUACAAUUGCAGCAGCAGUAUCUCGAGGUCCCCUUGGCCUGCAACCUUACCGACGCAGUUCUCAAACUGUGAUACGCUUGUCUGAAGGUCCCUUUCUUUACACAGAUGGGCUCCAGAUGAAGAAAGAAAACUACAGCAAGAGGGCUUGAAAGACGAUUCUAGAAGCAAUUCCCAAAUUUGGAGCAGUGGGAAGAAGAGGGACAAGCUAGAAAGUACAGAGCCCAUGCAUCUGACAGAAGAGGAGGAGGACCCGAGGCAGGCAGAACCAAGCGAAGGUGGAGUUGCCCAUGGGUCCGGGACCACCAGAGAGGCGACAGCUCAGGUUCAGCGGUGCCCCCUCAGCCACGUCCAGCCCCGGCUCGGCCACCACACGCACCCCUGCAGGCCAAGGACCAGGAGG